Molecule: ribosomal RNA, 468 nt
Filed under: uncultured bacterium
Lineage: Bacteria
Description: partial 16S ribosomal RNA
Rfam family: Bacterial small subunit ribosomal RNA
Source: RNAcentral
GACGAACGCUGGCGGCGUGCUUAACACAUGCAAGUCGAACGGAAAGGCCCUGCUUUUGUGGGGUGCUCGAGUGGCGAACGGGUGAGUAACACGUGAGUAACCUGCCCUUGACUUUGGGAUAACUUCAGGAAACUGGGGCUAAUACCGGAUAGGAGCUCCUGCUGCAUGGUGGGGGUUGGAAAGUUUCGGCGGUUGGGGAUGGACUCGCGGCUUAUCAGCUUGUUGGUGGGGUAGUGGCUUACCAAGGCUUUGACGGGUAGCCGGCCUGAGAGGGUGACCGGACACAUUGGGACUGAGAUACGGCACAGACUCGUACGGGAGGCAGCAGUGGAGAAUAUUGCACAAUGGGCGGAAGCCUGAUGCAGCACAGCCGCGUGCGGGAUGACGGCCUUCGGGUUGUAAACCGCUUUCGCCUGUGACGAAGCGUGAGUGACGGUAAUGGGUAAAGAAGCACCGGCUAACUACGUG